RNAcentral lists this ribosomal RNA (207 nucleotides) under uncultured bacterium. RNAcentral describes it as "partial 16S ribosomal RNA". It matches the Rfam family "Bacterial small subunit ribosomal RNA", at positions 568 to 774 of the family's 1533-position model. The record is from RNAcentral.
CGUGCAGGCGGUUCGGUAAGUUGGACGUGAAAGCUCCCGGCUCAACCGGGAGAGGUCGUUCAAUACUGUCGGACUUGAGGAUGGUAGAGGGAGGUGGAAUUCCGGGUGUAGUGGUGAAAUGCGCAGAUAUCCGGAGGAACACCAGUGGCGAAAGCGGCCUCCUGGACCAUUCCUGACGCUCAGACGCGAAAGCUAGGGUAGCGAACG